AUUGAACGCUGGCGGCAUGCUUUACACAUGCAAGUCGAACGGCAGCGCGGGCUUCGGCCUGGCGGCGAGUGGCGAACGGGUGAGUAAUGCAUCGGAACGUGCCCAGUAGUGGGGGAUAGCCCGGCGAAAGCCGGAUUAAUACCGCAUACGACCUGAGGGUGAAAGCGGGGGACCGAAAGGCCUCGCGCUAUUGGAGCGGCCGAUGUCGGAUUAGCUAGUUGGUGGGGUAAAGGCUUACCAAGGCGACGAUCCGUAGCUGGUCUGAGAGGACGACCAGCCACACUGGGACUGAGACACGGCCCAGACUCCUACGGGAGGCAGCAGGGGGGAAUUUUGGACAAUGGGGCAACCCUGAUCCAGCCAUGCCGCGUGCGGGAAGAAGGCCUUCGGGUUGUAAACCGCUUUUGUUCGGGAAGAAAUCCUCUGGGCUAAUACCCCGGGGGGAUGACGGUACCGGAAGAAUAAGCACCGGCUAACUACGUG
This 483-nucleotide ribosomal RNA is filed under the name uncultured bacterium. Its description in RNAcentral is "partial 16S ribosomal RNA". It matches the Rfam family "Bacterial small subunit ribosomal RNA", at positions 28 to 507 of the family's 1533-position model. The record is from RNAcentral.